This is a long non-coding RNA of Mus musculus (house mouse), 804 nucleotides long. RefSeq annotates it as predicted gene, 39458. The record is from RefSeq and is a predicted model, not a curated record. NCBI's taxonomy places the organism in Eukaryota, Metazoa, Chordata, Mammalia, Rodentia, Muridae. The transcript is spliced from 3 exons.
GGGGACAGCUGCAGUGCUAGUCUUUCUGGGCAUCACCAGUGGUGGGCAGAAUCCCUGUGUCUUCCUUUUUGUGUGUGUGACGAGAUUGCUUUUCUUUUUCUUCUUCCGAGCUGAAGAUUGCUCUCGCCAGCUGUGCUCCAGGCUCUCCCUCUUAGGGUGUGAUUUAGGGGCUAUUUCCAGUCUAAUGGGAUAAUUUAUAACCCAGUCCCUAAAACCAAGAGGACUGCAGUUCUGUGGCUGAGAAUUGUAGAAUUUCAGAGCUGCGAAUGAAAAUCAGAUCCAACCCAAACAAACCAAGUAAUAACAGCAACAACGAUAAAGCAAGGAGCCAAACACCCCCAGCCACCGUGCGGCAUCUAAACCCCAGCCCCCGCCCCUUGCAGCGGCAGAAUCCGGGAUUUCACGGCUGUGACAGCAGGUGACGAAUCCCUAAGACCCGACUCUGCCAGAAUUCCUGUCUCUUCCUGGAAGUCCUGCCACUUCUCUACUCCCUCGCUGUAGGCCUUUUAGCUCUUCAUGGGAAUCCUAUUUUCUGGCUGGAAACUCCCUAUACAGACCAGGCUGGACUUAAUCUUGCAGUAAUUCACCUGCCUUUGCCUCCUGAGAGCUGAGAUCACAGACACGCACCACUACCCCUGGCUUUCUGUUUAAUGUGAAUGGUUUAUGCCAAUUUUUAAAUCCAUUUCCUCUUUUUCCUGUAAUCCAUUAAUCUCUGCGUUAAUUUUUAUUAUUUCCAUGCAUUCUUUUUUACUCUUGGCAACCACUCUGGAAAUCAGUUUGGCGGUUCCUCAGAAAAUUGGACCC